RNAcentral lists this ribosomal RNA (253 nucleotides) under uncultured bacterium. RNAcentral describes it as "partial 16S ribosomal RNA". It matches the Rfam family "Bacterial small subunit ribosomal RNA", at positions 524 to 776 of the family's 1533-position model. The record is from RNAcentral.
UACGUAGGGACCAAGCGUUGUUCGGAUUUACUGGGCGUAAAGGGCGCGUAGGCGGCGUGUUAAGUCAGCUGUGAAAGUCAAGGGCUCAACCCUUGGAUGCCGGUGGAUACUGCAGGGCUAGAGUCCGGAAGAGGCGACUGGAAUUCCUGGUGUAGCGGUGAAAUGCGCAGAUAUCAGGAGGAACACCGAUGGCGAAGGCAGGUCUCUGGGCCGAUACUGACGCUGAGGAGCGAAAGCGUGGGGAGCGAACAGG